RNAcentral lists this ribosomal RNA (561 nucleotides) under uncultured bacterium. Its description in RNAcentral is "bacterial SSU rRNA". It matches the Rfam family "Bacterial small subunit ribosomal RNA", at positions 338 to 916 of the family's 1533-position model. The record is from RNAcentral.
CCUACGGGAGGCAGCAGUGAGGAAUAUUGCACAAUGGGCGCAAGCCUGAUGCAGCAACGCCGCGUGCGGGACGAAGGCCUUCGGGUCGUAAACCGCUUUUCUGAGGGAAGAGCAAGGACGGUACCUCAGGAAUAAGUCUCGGCUAACUACGUGCCAGCAGCCGCGGUAAAACGUAGGAGGCGAGCGUUAUCCGGAUUUACUGGGCGUAAAGCGCACGCAGGCGGCUCUGUGAGUCGGACGUGAAAGCUCUCGGCUUAACCGGGAGAGGUCGUUCGAUACUGCAGGGCUUGAGGUAGGGAGAGGAAUGCGGAAUUCCCGGUGUAGUGGUGGAAUGCGUAGAUAUCGGGAGGAACACCUGUGGCGAAAGCGGCAUUCUGGCCCUCACCUGACGCUGAGGUGCGAAAGCGUGGGUAKCAAACAGGAUUAGAUACCCUGGCAGUCCACGCCGUAAACGAUGUCAACUGGGUGUCGGUAGUUUUACACUAGCGGUGCCGAAGCUAACGCGUUAAGUUGACCGCCUGGGGACUACGGCCGCAAGGCUAAACUCAAAGGAAUUGACGG